This 62-nucleotide transfer RNA is filed under the name Hydrosaurus amboinensis (sailfin lizard). Its description in RNAcentral is "tRNA-Ser specifying AGY codons". The record is from RNAcentral. Lineage: Eukaryota; Metazoa; Chordata; Lepidosauria; Squamata; Agamidae.
GAAAGGCUCAAAACAAAAACUGCUAAUUCUUGUAUCUGAGACUAACCAUAUCAGGCCUUUCC